Non-coding RNA from Arthrobotrys musiformis, 103 nucleotides. The record is from the annotation of a GenBank genome assembly. NCBI's taxonomy places the organism in Eukaryota, Fungi, Ascomycota, Orbiliomycetes, Orbiliales, Orbiliaceae.
GGCCCCGUGGCCUAAUGGCAAGGCGUCAGUUUUCGGUAUUCAACUCUAAUCCGAGUUGAAUGUCAUCCACUGAAGAUUGCGAGUUCGAUCCUCGUCGAGGUCA